This 834-nucleotide ribosomal RNA is filed under the name Perforatella incarnata. Its description in RNAcentral is "Monachoides incarnatus partial large subunit ribosomal RNA". The record is from RNAcentral. Lineage: Eukaryota; Metazoa; Mollusca; Gastropoda; Stylommatophora; Hygromiidae.
AAUUAUUAUUAGAUUUUUAAAUAAUUAUUCACGAAAUAAAUUGAGCUAAAUUUUUGGUAUUUUUGGAAAUUAUAACUAUAUGUUACAAAAUAUAUUAACUAAAUAGAUUUAGGGGUGAAAGGCCUAUCAAAUUUUAUGAUAUCUUGAAGUAUAUAAAAUAUAUCAAGUAUUUCUAAUUCAACUAUUGAAUGUUUAGGUUCAAUAGUAACAUUAUAUUUUUUAAAAAAUUGUUCAAUUUUUUUAAGUAAAAUUGAGUUAGAGCAUAAAAUAUACAUCAAAUUUUUAUUAUAUGAAUAUAAAUAUACUACGGUUAUUAAUAAAUAUAAUCAUAUAUAAUGUAAUUAUUAGUAAUAGUUUAUUAAACUAUAUAAAGGAAUUCGGCAAGAAAAUUUUUCACCUGUUUAUCAAAAACAUAGCUUAUUGAAUAUCAUAAUAAGUAAUCCCUGCUCAAUGGAAAUCUAAAUAGCCGCAGUACCUUGACUGUGCAAAGGUAGCAUAAUCAAUUGGCUUAUAAUUGAAGUCUGGAAUGAAUGGGUAAUCUGGAAAAUAACUGUCUUUAUUUGUAGUAUUUUGAAUUUACUUAUAAAGUGAAAAUACUUUAAUAUAAAUAUAAGACGAGAAGACCCUAGAAAUUUUUUGUUAAUAACUUUUGUUGGGGCGACAGGGUAACAUAUAAACUUACUUACAUUUAUAUAAAUCUUAUAAGGUACGUAACUAAAUUACUCUAGGGAUAACAGCAUAAUAUAUAAAAGUUUAUGACCUCGAUGUUGGACUAGGUAAUUAAAUAUUUAAAAGAUAUCUUAAUUUGCUCUGUUCGAGCAGUACCACCUACAU